UUUUUCACAUAGUAGUUCCACCCUUAACUAGAUAAUUAAGUAGAAUAUAUUAAGCAAAUACAUCUCUUAACUAGAUAAUUAAGUAGAAUAUAUUAAGCAAAUACAUCUCAGACUUCUUCAACAAGCAUAACCACUCAAAUAUAUAUAUUUAUAUCCAUACACCUCAAACAGUACAGUUGUACAGGUGUACUACAAAUCUUUGAAAAAAAAUAUAGGAAGACCAAACUAUGUUAACCUAUACAACAAUGCCAGACCAAACUUAGACCAACACAAAAUAUCUUUGAGUCAACUAGGACAACAUGACACAUUUGAGACACACUAACCACCACUCUCACGUGCACAAUAGAUUAAUAGUCAAUUGUUCAACAUUAUAGUCUAUGUAUGGGCUUCAACCUUCAGCCAAUUACAAGCUAGCACCUGUGAGAACAAUGGAGAAGGGGAUGGGAAGCCAUACCAGCCAAGGAAGAUGGUUUUCUGAUAUUAAAAGGAGAGAGAGCAGAGCAAGCCAUUGCCAAGACUUCACACAUCUCCAUUCUUCCCCAAAUAGCCAAACCUGCAGCUUGUCUUCCUCCCACUUUCUUCAUCUUUCUAUCUGCAACCAACAAAGAUCCAAGAACAAUAAGUAGAGAUGGUGACCUGAGAAAUCAUAGUAGAUCAAAGGAGGAAGGCUAGAGCAAGAAAUUAGCCUACUGGACUGGGAUCUGGAAGUAGGAGCAGCACUAGUAGGAACAGCAGAGAAGGCAAAAGAAGAAAGGUGAGUUCUUCUUCUUCUGUCAUUCCUUUAGCACUCACACUCACAAAGAAGCCUAACCCAGAUGCACCCACAAUAUUCCUCACAACUUCUUCAUAGAUGCACACAAAAGCUAAAUCAUCCCAGUAAUAUCAUCUAUCACAGAUCUUAAAAUCAACAUUACAAGAAAGCAUGGAUAAUGCCUUAAUCAAGUAAAAUAAAAUGGAUCAAGUAAACCAACAUCUUGCACAAGAGGAAUUGGUUCAGUACACACACAUGCACAUGAGACUAAAUUAAUUUACUAAAUCUGAGAACUUUAACCAUAAAAAAAAUAUUAGGGAUAGGAACAAGGCAUCACUAACCUGCACAUAUGUUCGAUCUGCUCCAUGGCCACGCACUGGAGCUCUGACCUGCACCAUCCAGCAUCACGGCGGCGCCCAAGCCGGCGACUUCGAUCUGGAGCAGCGGAAUCACAUCCCAACGAGAGCCUCACCUGCAAGCCAAAAUCAGAGGAGGAUUUGAGGGUUAGGGAUGAAUCCAUGGGGGACAUAUGGGGAUUUACAUCAGAGAGAGAGAGAGAGAGAGAGAGAGAGAGAGAGAGAGAUUUGAGGAUCCGGCAGCGGCGGAGCAGCAUCUUUCCCGUCGCUGGCGUGCUGCUCGAUCUGGGCAAGGUGUAGAAGAAACAGAGGAGGGCAUGCGUGUACUACUUGUGUUCUGGCUGCACUAGUACUAGUGUGUGUGUUGAUUCGGUUCAGAAUGGGUAAUAGUACUAGGAGAGAGAAAGAGCCACUUAGCCUAAGCUGAAAUGUCACGGUACACUCCCAGGCUACUAGUACUAAUUAGUUAAUUUGAUGACAUGUGAAUAAUGCUAGUUACACACUACACUGAUAAAUAUAACAUAUCUUGUAUCAAGAUUUUACAAGUUUAAAACCUUGGUGACCGUAGGAUAACCACACUGCACCAACGUAUUUUUAUUUUAGUUAUUCACUCGACUUAGUAUCAGUAUAUAUAUAUUUGCUGAAUUGCAGGAAGCAAACAAGACCCGGAGAAGGAAGCGCCACAGAAGCAAUUUGAGUUCGGGUCUGAGUACGAGAACUCAGGCAAGCUCUCCUUGAUCAUGUUGAGUAGAACUAUUUUUCAAAAACACUAUUCUCCGCUAUCUUAUCAUCAACUUGCAUAAAAUGUUUUGAGAUAAAUUGUGUGGAAUGAGUGUUGGCAAAUAGUUGGGUUAGCUGAUGGAGCAGCUAAUCCAUUUUUUUUAUAAUUAUUUGGUGGAUAGAGGGUGAUCGGGAUGGACACAUUGGAAGGUGGGGCCCUCUACAUAUGGCUAUGAUAUUAAGAUUAAAUAACUUCCACUCGUUUUAUGUGCCGUACUACAACCGUAUCAGCCAUGGUCUCAUCUAAGGCGAGUUGAGCCCAAUACUAAUGCCGGAUGGGUGCAUUAGCAAGCGCUAUAUAUUAAGUGUUGGUGGAGUGCGGGUUCUGAAACCCGACACAACGGCUAGUGACCACUAGCCAGGUGGAGAUAUAAUAUACAAAUGGGAAAAAGCUUAGGUUCUGAACCAUUUCUCGCAACUAAGGAAAUGCAUAUGGCAAUUAUGGUUUCGAGCUCUGUGUGUAAAGUGAUACAAACUCUGCAGAGUUAAAGAAAAACAUGAAUUCAUGCCAGUCUCUUGGAUUGGAGACUACGGGGACCUAUUGGUGGUCUAUCUCGCAAUACGAGUGUUUGAUAGCUUUUAUAAAUUGAAAUAAACUUCUGCAACAAAUGUUUAUUUUUGAAAGUUGUGAGUUGAGGUAUGACUUGUUGAUUUAUAUUGAGCUAUCAUGACUGUUGCAUUCUGCUAUUUGAGCUUGAUGAGUACUUUGUACUCACUCUUGCUAUUAAUCAUCUUUUUCUUAGAGCAAAGCUUGUAUGAGAAUCCUACUGGACCAAGUGAGGAGAGCAAUGGUGAUGGCUACAACUACACAGGGGACCUAGAUGUGGAUCCAUCUAGUGCUAUGUAUGAUCUGGAUGCCACAUAUGGGGGCUGGGAUGAACAAGUAACUUGUGAGCUAGCUAUGUAAUCCAGGAACUAUUUCAUCACUAUAUAUCUAGUACCGUUGUUGGAACUAGCGAACAUGUGAGAAGCCUACUUGAGACUUUUAGCCCCACGUGGCAUGAUAUUGUAAUAUAAGAGACCAUCUCUAGCUAUUUCCAUGUUGCAUAUCUCUAACAUGGAUUAUUAUUUGACAAGACAAUAUUUUGUCCAGAAAUAAUCCAAGGACAGUGUCAUUAUCUAUAAUAAUAAUGACACGGGUCAUCACAGGUGGUAUCAGUGCCAGGUUUUCGAGGGCCACGCAGAUAGUUAGAGACGGUUAGAAUACUUUAGUUGGAACCCAUACUUGCUAUAUUGCACAAGUAAUUAGACCCAGAAUAUAUCAUUGUGGCCAGUAACUUUAGAUGACUACCAUGCUAAUUGGAAGCCUGUUGCAGGAUGGUUUGAAUUAGAAUUCCACCAUCAAGGGUUCGUGGCCAACAUGUCCUACUACUUUGGCAAAUGAUGGAGGAGCUUGGGGCACCAUGUCCACAAUUCUUUGAAGAGAUACCAGAUGAUGGAACACACUCCUACAGACGCGUAGUACUGGUGCUUAGCGGUGUUCCAUCGGACAUGGACUUCUAUGUGGAGCUCUCCACAAUGCAGCGAUCAUCCGAUGACACUCUACCCAUGUAGGAGGUUGCCAAAGAAGCUAUGCAUGGACUGCGAGCACGCUCUGGAGAGAAAUUGCGCACUACCGGAUAUCGUGACUUGCCAGCACUUGAUUCUGGAAGUUUUGGGCAGAACCAUCAGCAAGGACCUAGAGUAGCAAGCCUGGGUGUCGGGUCUUCAUCAGCUCAGCAUGCACCUGCCGCAACAGUUAGCACCACUUCUACCAUGGCCAGGAUUGCUGAUGUGAUGAUGUACCAUACAAUGAAGGAAGAGCUUAUUAGGCGUCAAGAAGCAACCAAAUUCUAGUAUCAAUGCUAUCAGAUGAGCGAACAUGACGGGAUUAUGCUUCAGGAAGCACUAAAUGCUAUGCUGAGGUCCACUUAAUCCUAUAAUAGUACCAAGUGAUGUUGAAGAGGAAGUAGAACCAGAGGAACCGGAAGAACUUGAGGAAGUAGAGAACCCAGAUGAGCCAGUAGUUCCACCCUCACCAGACAUACCACCUACACCACCCCAGCCAUUACCUGAACAUAUAGCUGAACCUGAACCAGCCCUACAGUCUGAUAUAGAGCAGCAACAGCUACCCCACUUCCCUAAUCCACGACUACACCAACCUGACUUUAUCCACCCACACAUGAGUGUCAGCUCGAGGGAGUACAGGGAGGCUGCUACCUAUGCAAGGGUACUUGGGCUUGGCGCAAGUGGCAGCGGCGAAAGUAAUGGAAGUGGCAGCGGUAGCAACAAUGGCGGUGGCAGCGGCAUCGCCUAAUCAAGUUCCAAUCUGCCAAACUCUUCGGCGUGAAACACCUUGGCCAUAGACUAAUCUUUUGGGAUCAGCAGUAGUUAGUGUAGUGGCAGCCUGAAUAUGUGUGUUUAUGUAAGAUAUGCCUGAACUUCAAUGCUAGAGUAUGUCGCCUAUGUACUAGUAGGAACUGAACCCUAUGUGGCGUGUGCUGUAGUUGUAAUGUAGUUAUGCCCUUAACUAAUACUUAUGUGAUGUACUGGUUGUAAUAUAAGUGCUUGUUCCGUAGUAUAUAACUUGUGUGCAUUAGUAGGCUCAUAGUACCUUACUAUUGUGUGCUUUAGUGGUAACACAGAGGAUAACAUAAUCCUAUUAGGCAAAAGUAAAAUGUUUGACAUCAUCUUAUGGGAGACACAAGAGUAAUCGGAGUUGUAUCAUUCUGGUUAGUAAGAGGCAUUUGCCACCAGAAUUAAACUUCAUGUUUGGUUACUGCAAAUUUAAGGAUAGCAUGAUAUUUAUUGAUAUCACUUGCACUUGUGCUUGCUGAUUGAAUCAAUAAUCAUGCAAAGAAGUAACCAACUAACUAGACAAAAAAUGCAGGAUGGAUAACAAUGGCUUGACCGAGCAAGACCUUGUCUUUCGGUUGGGAUCAAGCGCCCAUGAUCAGCAUGGGGGUACUCCAUCUUCAGAAAAUCAAAGUGCUCUACCUGGACCGGUGCAACUUCCAAGCAACCCAGAAGUUGGCAAUGCUGGAACUUCUGGACUUAUGAGUGGAGAAGGCAAUUUGGGAGAUGUCCUUAAGUUCAUGGAUAAUUCUCGAAGGGAGUCCCAAGAGAACCAGAACCACUUCCUCGAAGCAAUACUCACAAGACUAGUUCCUGGAGGAGCAAACCUACCCGGUGCAGGAGUUAGCUUGGGAGAAUUUCUGAAAACUCAGCCACCCACAUUCUCCACUAGAGGCAGAUGACUGGCUGUUAGAAGUAGAACAUAACCUGGAAACCGUAGGGUGCUCAGAUGAAGAGAAGGUGAGAUAUGCAUCACACCAGCUAACUGGACCAGCAGCAGCUUGGUGGAGAAAUUUCAACCUUAACCGAGCAAAUAAUCAGCCUAUCACUUGGGAGGAGUUCAAGGAGAAUUUCCGUCAGACCCAUAUUCCAAAGGGAAAGAUGGAUAUCAAAAAGAGGGAGUUUCGCAAUCUGUCUCAAGGUAGCGGGAGGAUAAACGACUACAUGAACCAAUUUAAUGAUUUGGCAAGGUAUGCUCCAAAUUAUGUGAACACUGAAGCCAAGAAAGUGGAGAAGUUUAUGGAGGGGCUGCAUCCAUUCCUGAAAAUGCACCUCUCAAUUCACGGGAUCACCCAGUUUCAAGACCUUGUCAAUAGGGCCUUCAUACUUGAGAAUGAGCAUGCCAACCUAAGUGAAGAGAUAAGGAAGAAAGCAAGGGUAGAUCCAUGCCCCAUGAUGCAACACCCACGUCUUAUGAUGCAUGGACCAGUGCGUCCUCAUAUGCCACCACCACGGCCUAUUCCUACUCAGCCAAUCUUUGUUCCUAAAUGCGGGAAAUGUUGAAAGGGUCAUGCUACUCGAGAUUGUAUGAUGGGUACAGGAGUUUGCUUCAAUUGCGGGAGACCAGGACACCACAAGAUCAAUUGCAUCUCUCCUCCAGCAAAUCCUACAAGGCCACCUAUGCAGCAGACUCAAGGGCAUCGUCCACUAGUUGGGCAAGGACGAGGCGGACCUAUGAACUAUGCGGCAAGAGGAGCUGGGCGUGGAGGACAAGUAGGAGGACAGCCAAGGCUGAAUUAUGUGGCUGCAGAGCAACUAGGAGAAGCUACAGAUGUUGUCAUCGGUAAACCACUCAUUCCUCCUUCAGUUGGUAUAGUUAUUUUACACCGGUGCCACACACUUAGUUAUUUCCCAAGAAUUCGUGAAUAAGAGCAUGCACACCGUUGGAAAAAAGCUUUAGGAGUUAACUCACCUGGAGGGAAGAUUACAGUAGAGACAACACGCAGAAAUCAACCAAUAAUAAUCCACAACACCAACAUUUUAGCAAACCUGCAUGUCAUAGAGAUGGCAGGGUUAGAAAUAAUCCUCGGGAUGGUUUGGUUAGCUGCCAAUAUAGUGAAAGUAGAUUAUGAACUUAAAGGGGUAUAUAAAAGUAUUACCUAUGAGAGGGGUUCGACGCUUUGGAAUCAAAGGGAAGCUAAGUCCUAGAUAUGUUGGGCCCUUUAAAAUUUUAGAGAAGGGAAAUCUGCUUAUAAGUUGGAAUUACCACACACCUAUCAAGGACUCACAAUGUCUUCCACAUAUCUCAACUUAAGAAAUGCAACAAGCCACCACCACAUUUGUCAGACUAGGAGGAUUGAUCUAGAGACAGACCUGACCUAUGAAGAGCGCCCAUUGAAGAUAUUAGAAGUUGAAGACCGCAAGCUCAGGACAAGGACCAUGCGGUUCUACAAGGUUCAAUGGAAGAAUCACUUCGUUCGCGAGGCUACGUGGGAGAAGGAGGAAGACAUACGAGUUACCUACCGCAAUCUUUUUAAGUAAGUUUUCGAUUUCGAGGACGAAAUAUUUUUCUGAGGGUAGGAUGUAACGACCUGUAUUUUCACAUAGUGGUUCCACCCUUAACUAGAUAAUUAAGUAGAAUAUAUUAAGCAAAUACAUCUCAGACUUCUUCAACAAGCAUAACCACUAAAAUAUAUACAUUUAUAUCCAUACACCUCAAACAGUACAGUUGUACAGGUGUACUACAAAUCUUUGAAAAAAAUAUAGGAAGACCAAACUAUGUUAACCUAUACAACAAUGCCAGACCAAACUUAGACCAACACAAAAUAUCUUUGAGUCAACUAGGACAAC
This 7011-nucleotide long non-coding RNA is filed under the name Triticum aestivum (bread wheat). Its description in RNAcentral is "long non-coding RNA (TAES_LNC017964)". Lineage: Eukaryota; Viridiplantae; Streptophyta; Magnoliopsida; Poales; Poaceae. The record is from RNAcentral.